CCGGCGGAGCUGGGAUUUGAACCCAGUGUCUGCAUCCUGAGGCCUCUAAGUUUGUGUGAAGCAGCUGGGAGCUAAUGGCAGACCAGGCUGGACGCUGGCAGGGAGAGCUGCCCUCCGUAGGACUGGGAGGGCUGCCAGCUUGUCGCCCACGCUGGCUUGCCCCCAUCUGCUUCCUCCCACCCCACCUCCCUGGCUCUCCUGUUUGCCCUCAAGAUAAUCAUGCUUCAAAGUGGGGCUGUCACCACCAAGAAUCUGGGA
Molecule: long non-coding RNA, 258 nt
Filed under: Dasypus novemcinctus (nine-banded armadillo)
Lineage: Eukaryota; Metazoa; Chordata; Mammalia; Cingulata; Dasypodidae
Description: lncRNA (ENSDNOG00000051579.1)
Source: RNAcentral